Molecule: ribosomal RNA, 253 nt
Filed under: uncultured bacterium
Lineage: Bacteria
Description: partial 16S ribosomal RNA
Rfam family: Bacterial small subunit ribosomal RNA
Source: RNAcentral
UACGGAGGGUGCAAGCGUUGUUCGGAAUUAUUGGGCGUAAAGCGCGUGUAGGCGGUUUGGUAAGUCAGAUGUGAAAGCCCUGGGCUCAACCCAGGAAGUGCAUUUGAUACUGCCUUACUCGAGUAUGGGAGAGGAGAGUGGAAUUCCCAGUGUAGAGGUGAAAUUCGUAGAUAUUGGGAGGAACACCCGUGGCGAAGGCGACUCUCUGGACCAAUACUGACGCUGAGACGCGAAAGCGUGGGGAGCAAACAGG